This 975-nucleotide ribosomal RNA is filed under the name bacterium enrichment culture clone CCIX. RNAcentral's name for it is "bacterial SSU rRNA". It matches the Rfam family "Bacterial small subunit ribosomal RNA", at positions 505 to 1492 of the family's 1533-position model. The record is from RNAcentral.
GUGCCAGCCGCCGCGGUAAUACGGAGGAUCCGAGCGUUAUCCGGAUUUAUUGGGUUUAAAGGGUGCGUAGGUGGUUUGAUAAGUCAGCGGUGAAAGUUUGCAGCUUAACUGUAAAAAUGCCGUUGAAACUGUCGGACUUGAGUGUAAAUGAGGUAGGCGGAAUGCGUGGUGUAGCGGUGAAAUGCAUAGAUAUCACGCAGAACUCCGAUUGCGAAGGCAGCUUACUAAGCUACAACUGACACUGAAGCACGAAAGCGUGGGGAUCAAACAGGAUUAGAUACCCUGGUAGUCCACGCAGUAAACGAUGAUUACUAGCUGUUUGCGAUACACAGUAAGCGGCACAGCGAAAGCGUUAAGUAAUCCACCUGGGGAGUACGCCGGCAACGGUGAAACUCAAAGGAAUUGACGGGGGCCCGCACAAGCGGAGGAACAUGUGGUUUAAUUCGAUGAUACGCGAGGAACCUUACCCGGGUUUGAACGUAGGGAGACAGGGGUGGAAACAUCCUUUUCAGCAAUGACUGCCUACGAGGUGCUGCAUGGUUGUCGUCAGCUCGUGCCGUGAGGUGUCGGCUUAAGUGCCAUAACGAGCGCAACCCUUAUUUCCAGUUACUAACAGGUAAUGCUGAGGACUCUGGAGAGACUGCCAGCGUAAGCUGUGAGGAAGGUGGGGAUGACGUCAAAUCAGCACGGCCCUUACAUCCGGGGCGACACACGUGUUACAAUGGUAAGGACAAAGGGCAGCUACCGGGCGACCGGAUGCGAAUCUCUAAACCUUAUCUCAGUUCGGAUCGGAGUCUGCAACUCGACUCCGUGAAGCUGGAUUCGCUAGUAAUCGCGCAUCAGCCAUGGCGCGGUGAAUACGUUCCCGGGCCUUGUACACACCGCCCGUCAAGCCAUGGGAGCCGGGGGUACCUGAAGUUCGUAACCGCAAGGAUCGACCUAGGGUAAAACUGGUGACUGGGGCUAAGUCGUAAC